UAGUAAUGAAUAGGUAACGUACCCUGUGCAUCAGGAUAGCGUCAGUUGCUUCGGCAACUUUCCGAAAGGGGCGGUAAUACUGAAUAAUGUCAUCUUACGAUAGUGGGAUGACCAAAGAUUUAUCGGCAUAGGAGCGGCCUAUUUCCUAUCAGCUUGUUGGUGAGGUAAUAGCUCACCAAGGCUAAGACGGGUAGCGGGACUGAGAGGUUGACCCGCAACAUCGGGACUGAGACACUGCCCGGACCUCCACGGAGGGCUGCAGUAACGAAUAUUGCGCAAUGGGCGAAAGCCUGACGCAGCGACGCCGCGUGUAGGAGGAAGUCCCUCGGGAUGUAAACUACUGUCAGGGUAAAGAAAGUUCGCUCCGGCGAAUUGAUCUACCCCAGAGGAAGUCACGGCUAACUUCGUGCCAGCAGCCGCGGUAAGACGAAGGUGGCAAGCGUUGUUCGGUAUCACUGGGCUUAAAGCGUAUGCAGGCGGAAUGGACAGCGUCAUGUGAAAUCCCUCAGCUCAACUGAGGAAUUGCAUGGCGAACUGCCAUUCUUGAGGCAAGUAGGGGUGCAUAGAACUCUUGGUGGAGCGGUGGAAUGCGUAGAUAUCAAGAGGAAUGCCGAUGGGGAAAUCAGUGCACUAGGCUUGUCCUGACGCUCAGAUACGAAAGCGUGGGGAGCGAACGGGAUUAGAUACCCCGGUAGUCCACGCCGUAAACGAUGUCUACUAGGUUGUGGUGGUUCUGACACCGGCACGGCCGAAGCAAAAGUGUUAAGUAGACCGCCUGGGGAGUACGGUCGCAAGGCUAAAACUCAAAGGAAUUGACGGGGGCUCACACAAGCGGUGGAGCAUGUGGAUUAAUUCGAAGCAACGCGCAGAACCUUACCUGGGUUUGACAUGCUUGGAUGCUUGCCUGGAAACAGGUUAAGUUACCUUUCGGGGUGAAACUUGCACAGGUGCUGCAUGGCUGUCGUCAGCUCGUGUCGUGAGACGUCGG
Molecule: ribosomal RNA, 988 nt
Filed under: uncultured organism
Description: bacterial SSU rRNA
Rfam family: Bacterial small subunit ribosomal RNA
Source: RNAcentral